GGAUGCAUUACUGGGCAAAUACUCUUCUAGCAGUAAAAUGUGAUUGCGUAGCCUGAUGCUAGAACUACGUUCACUGCUGCCAAAGGAGAUUUGCCCCGCAAUGUUGUU
Daucus carota subsp. sativus is the source of this 108-nucleotide non-coding RNA. The record is from Rfam. NCBI's taxonomy places the organism in Eukaryota, Viridiplantae, Streptophyta, Magnoliopsida, Apiales, Apiaceae.